CAGGAUGAACUCAGAGAGACAGAAAAGCAGAGAAACAACCGGAAGCCGGGCGACCAGCAUCCGGAAGCUACGCAGCACAGAGAAAAGAAAAGGAGUACUUUCUAUCCGCCGGUGUAGCAACAUUCUCUCGUACUUCUCAACGCACCCUUAGUUAAGCGCAUGCGCUUCUAGGGAGACCAAGCCUCUCUUAUCGAUUGCAGAGCAACGGAUGCAUGAUGGUGGCGUCUUAGAAAAGGGUUGAACCAACUUUUGCGUGCAAGUGCAGUCUCUCAGCUUAGCUCUGAUUUCGCUAGCUCUUUUAUUGGCGAAUUAGGCUAGGGUAGAGAGCAACAAGGACGGGCGGCUACCAAUACCCCAUACACAAGAUGGUUCAGUUCCAUGACUUUUCAUUAUUAGGGUCGCUUAACCCAUGACUUUUUAUACACAGAAAUAAUCUCUGUAAUAACCGUUUGUGGUCGUCCCUAGAGAAGUCUCUACUUUAUCACAUGUACACUUUACAUGGCUCAGGAAGCGGAGAGGUGGCAGGCACAAAGCCACCAUUAGGCGUGCUCUCACUUGGCACAUGCAGACACUAAAUGACCUGCUUCAAGACCAGAAACGGUUGCUUGCACACUCCCUGACUCAGCUAUGUGAUGAAGAGGAGACAGAACAUGUGCUAAGCGCCCACUCUUCUAGAGGUGAUUGAAUGACAGCACGAUUAAAGGCAAUAGCAAUUACACUGACAAUAUUAACCAAGUGGAUCCCUUUAGUCCUGAACUGUAAGAGCUGCCACUGCAGCUUUUCAAAGCCUGUUAAUUCCGAGUGAGGUAAGAAUCUGUCAGUCCAUUCAUCUUACCAGAAGGCCAAGAACUUUCUGUUGGAUAGACGAUUCUGUUGGAAAAGACUGUCAAAAAAACACAAGCUUUGGAACCCAACAGAGAAAAACCUUUCUUCAAACCACCAUUUUGAGGAUCUAGUCAGAGCAACUGUAAUAAUAUUUCAAGAAUGCAGAUAAACUAGCCAGAGUGCGAGACGACAAGCGUUUGCCAGGACGACGACAUACUAACAGAUCUGAUAUACAAGCCUGCCAUUUUCAAUUAUUUCGCUUUCACCAGCUUAAGGGAAUAAUGCAACACUGUGAAUCACCUUCGGCACUGACAAAAAGCAGGCUCAGUGGGCUUGUACAUACUCCUCCAGCAAAUUUUAAAAAUAGGAAUGCCUGCCAACUACUUCUCAAACUAAGGAAAGUCGUUUCUUGCCUUUACACCAAACGGCUUAGAAGCAGUACGCCUUUAUUUUAGUCUCAGUCGCUUAGAGACUGAGGAAUCUGCACCCCUGAUGCACUGCUGGUGGUCCUACAAAGACCCUUAGAAGGAACAAAAGCAGGCUGCGCAUACCAUACGUGAAGGAGAAGUGAAUUCCCUAAAGCAGAGGCAAGCAGACUUCCCUGGUCAAACUGUGGUCUGAGAACAAGGAUGUUUUAGAACAAGGUCACUCUCACCUUCUCAGAACUCCAAGCACAAGAACGAAAAUACAUUUCCCUGGAAACAUUCUACUUAAGUAUCAUCAUCAUCCAAGUAAAAUUCCAUGUGGGUGCAAGGUGCUAGCAACAAUCCUAAAAGUCAGAUUACUUAUUAAAUAUCUGUCAGCAUUUUCUUAUGCAACGCCAAGAGACACAGCUCUCUGUUUAAUUACACAAUGGGGGGGGGGGACCUUCCCUAGCCAGUUACUAUUUUUAGAAAGUGAACUACAAAUUGACCCAUAGAUACCACCGCAGUAUUCCCAAAUUCAUAAGUUGUGACAUCUACAAUAUUAAUUGCUUCCUUCCUAAUUCUGAGUUAGGCUGGGGUAGACUGGAUGGUUUAAAACGUGGCUCCAGUGUGUCACGUAACAGACAUCUUGUUAUAUAUAUAUUUUAAAGGUAAGCCAAACAACUGUGUCCUUGGUAAUAUAUCACCAAUCUAACGGGAACUGUAUUCUGUACACAAUUCUACUAAGAACAGUGAACAGAAAGCUGCAGACAUACAAUUGUCAGCAUCCUGCCAUUAUGCUCCUUGAACAAAAAAUGUUAAAACAAUGUAUUGUGUGUGUUUAAAUUAAGUUAUAUUUCUAACAAAGGUGGCAUAGAAAAAGCCUGGAUCUUAAAAGCAGAAUUAUUAUGUAUAUUCUAAAGACUUGGAAUCUAGGACUAAUUGUCACGAUAGCAAAAUCACAUAUCAGAGUUCUAUUACAUUGGGCUGCAGGUGGGGGAGAAAAGGGAGGCUGCAGGUCUGAACGUUCCCCUACAAAAAACUCCCUGCAAGUAGAAAGCUAUCACAUGAAGGAGAAUUGAUAGUCUUUAUACACUAGCAUUCUAAUUCGAGGCAGUUUAUUUUAUAUGAGAGAAGGCACUUUCAAAGGCCUGAACCGAUAAACUCCGUCAAAGUGGGCUAUCACCUGCCUUAUUGCUGGAUGGGGGUGAGAAUGUGGCCUGUAGAAUGGUGCGACAAAGAUUGUUUGAUACAGCCACUCAGAACAAGAAGGCUUGUUUGCCAUCUUUUUACAAAUCUUUAUAUACCAAGGUGGAUCUUGCCCCGGCAACAUAUCUAUUCACGAUCACCUCAAGUAAAUUCCGAUGGGCAUUCUCUAGAUUGAAUGCUUUCCCAUCGGUGGUGCUUUAUGGGAAAUAUAUUACCCUAUGAAGAAUGGAAGUGCCCCUGUGGUGAGGUGGUUGAAACCAUGGCCCACAUAUUGUUAAAGUGUUCAAUCUAUCAGGAGAUUAGGUAUCAAUUGAUUAGCCCAUUGAUGAAUGACUUGAUGAGACAAUCCGACGAUCUUGUUGUAAGACAUUUACUGGCUGAUAAAGAUGCAACAACUUCUUAUGUAGUAGCCAAAUAUUGUUAUGUGGCCACUAGAUUGAGAAUCUUAAAGGAAUAGUUGAUUAUAUAGUACUGUGUGUCUUAAUGUAUAUAUCUUUUUUUUAAUUAAUGUGUUCUGUUAAUCUUUUUGGACAAAGACCUUCAAUAAAUGAUGAUGGCAUAGUGCCUGCACCACA
This is a long non-coding RNA of Hemicordylus capensis (graceful crag lizard), 3013 nucleotides long. RefSeq lists it as uncharacterized. The record is from RefSeq and is a predicted model, not a curated record. The transcript is spliced from 7 exons. Lineage: Eukaryota; Metazoa; Chordata; Lepidosauria; Squamata; Cordylidae.